UGGAAAAGAAGGUUGAGCUGAAAAACUGAGAAGCAGUUAGUCUUUCUGGAGUUUGCUGAUUGCAAGCAUCUGGGAGGCUUUGUUGCCAAGCUACCUGGUGGAUUACCUUUACCUGUCUGUUAAUGUUAAGACCUAUGAUUCCUGAGAAGAAGAUCCUUGAACUGAAGCUAGCCUGACUCAAUAUCCAGUCAAGAGCAGCUGUUACAGGUUCCCAGAAGCCAGCAGCAAAGAAUUGGCCAGACACAUUAUUAAAAACUAGACCAAGCAUCCCCAUUCCUCCAACCAAAGAACAACUCUAAUCCUUCCCCAUUGAAGAACUUCUGAUACCUGAAACUCCAGCUCAGCAAUUUUCUUCCUAAAAUGUGGUACCCAGCAUGGCCUCCUCAAGAAGAGACAUGACCAGGUCUGAAAAGAGCAGAGCUAGCAUUUUCUCAUUCAGGACACCAACAAAGCCCAAGAACCAAAUAAGCAGAAAGCAUCUGUCCUCAUCUGUCCUCAAGGAGCUUCUGAUCACUUAGUUGGAAGGAACUUCAGAGUUUCUUUCCAGUAUGAGGAUCCUAAGAUUCGGCAGUUUUAUGAAAGAGACAUCUUGGUUGAUGAGUUCAUGAUUAAAUAAAGUUUGGAGAUGAAUGAGA
Long non-coding RNA from Monodelphis domestica (gray short-tailed opossum), 635 nucleotides. RefSeq lists it as uncharacterized. Lineage: Eukaryota; Metazoa; Chordata; Mammalia; Didelphimorphia; Didelphidae. The record is from RefSeq and is a predicted model, not a curated record.